This 253-nucleotide ribosomal RNA is filed under the name uncultured bacterium. Its description in RNAcentral is "partial 16S ribosomal RNA". It matches the Rfam family "Bacterial small subunit ribosomal RNA", at positions 524 to 776 of the family's 1533-position model. The record is from RNAcentral.
UACAGGGGGUGCAAACGUUGCUCGGAAUUAUUGGGCGUAAAGCGCGCGUAGGCGGCCACUUAAGUCGGAUGUGAAAGCCCCUGGCUCAACUGGGGAAGUGCACCCGAAACUGAACGGCUUGAGUGCGAAAGAGGGUCGCGGAAUUCCCGGUGUAGAGGUGAAAUUCGUAGAUAUCGGGAGGAACACCGGUGGCGAAGGCGGCGACCUGGGUCGAGACUGACGCUGAGGCGCGAAAGCGUGGGGAGCAAACAGG